Long non-coding RNA from Lycium barbarum (goji berry), 582 nucleotides. RefSeq lists it as uncharacterized. The record is from RefSeq and is a predicted model, not a curated record. The transcript has 3 exons. Lineage: Eukaryota; Viridiplantae; Streptophyta; Magnoliopsida; Solanales; Solanaceae.
UGCCGUGUCCAACCCCAUUUUCUCCCCAUAUUUCCACUUCCCAUCUCAUCCACGUAAAUAUAAAACCUCCAAUCUUAACCUCAAAAGCAAACCUCUAUUUGAUACUUCUUAUUUUCAUUGUGUUUUUGUAUGGGAUGCACAAAGAUAUAUCUUGAGAUAUAUGCAAACGGACAAAAGUAUAUAAUGAUUUUUUUUAUCAGCAAUGAAUUUGACAUGAACCGCCGGCAGAGAUGGUGUCGGAUCAGUGAAAACUUCAGGUACAUGAAGGUGGAAACAAAUUCAAGAGUAAAGCUAAUAGAUGAGUGAAGCUCCAUUAGCAUAUGAGGAAGCAACAUACUUUUGUCUUUUUAAUUCAUCACGAGUCAUGUAUUGUAAUUACACUUUCAUGUUGAAUAGUUUUUUUUUUUUUUUAAUUUAACGAAUUUUAGUCAUUCUUACUGAAUUGUUUUUUAGUACCAUGCAAGUUUAUUUACGUUAUUUUCGUUUUGUAUAUUAUUAAUGAAUAAAAUACAUACUUGCUUAUAUAUACAGUGGAUUCUAAUUUUUUCAAUCCUUAAAGGAUUAAUUCUUAAAUAAUGACUA